RNAcentral lists this microRNA (21 nucleotides) under Brachypodium distachyon (stiff brome). RNAcentral describes it as "bdi-miR395o-5p". Its record names the gene bdi-miR395o-5p. The record is from miRBase by way of RNAcentral. Lineage: Eukaryota; Viridiplantae; Streptophyta; Magnoliopsida; Poales; Poaceae.
AUUCCCUACAAGCACUUCACA